Molecule: ribosomal RNA, 453 nt
Filed under: uncultured bacterium
Lineage: Bacteria
Description: bacterial SSU rRNA
Rfam family: Bacterial small subunit ribosomal RNA
Source: RNAcentral
AUUGAACGCUGGCGGCAUGCCUUACACAUGCAAGUCGAACGGCAGCACGAGGGCAACCCUGGUGGCGAGUGGCGAACGGGUGAGUAAUACAUCGGAACGUGUCCUGUAGUGGGGGAUAGCCCGGCGAAAGCCGGAUUAAUACCGCAUACGAUCUACGGAAGAAAGCGGGGGAUCCUUCGGGACCUCGCGCUAUAGGGGCGGCCGAUGGCAGAUUAGCUAGUUGGUGGGGUAAAGGCCUACCAAGGCGACGAUCUGUAGCUGGUCUGAGAGGACGACCAGCCACACUGGGGCUGAGACACGGCCCAGACUCCUACGGGAGGCAGCAGUGGGGAAUUUUGGACAAUGGGGGAAACCCUGAUCCAGCAAUGCCGCGUGUGUGAAGAAGGCCUUCGGGUUGUAAAGCACUUUUGUCCGGAAAGAAAACUUCUGCCCUAAUACGGCGGGAGGAUGACG